RNAcentral lists this unclassified non-coding RNA (253 nucleotides) under Hevea brasiliensis (rubber tree). The record is from RNAcentral. Lineage: Eukaryota; Viridiplantae; Streptophyta; Magnoliopsida; Malpighiales; Euphorbiaceae.
GAGAAACUAAGAGAACAAGUUGAGGAGCGCUUGGAUUUCUAUGACAAGGGGGUUGCACCCCGUAAAAACAUUGAUGUGAUGAAAGUUGCAAUUGAAAGUGUUCAGAAUAAAGAUGUCGACAUGGAAACAGAAGAGGCUGUACCUUCAGAAAAGAAAAGCAAGAAAAAUAAAUCAAAAUCUGAGGCUGCAAAAGUUGUUGAACCUAUGGCUGAUGAUAAACCAACAGUUGCUACAAAUGGAGAUGCUUCAGAGG